RNAcentral lists this ribosomal RNA (757 nucleotides) under Plasmopara obducens. RNAcentral describes it as "eukaryotic LSU rRNA". It matches the Rfam family "Eukaryotic large subunit ribosomal RNA", at positions 62 to 648 of the family's 3401-position model. The record is from RNAcentral. Lineage: Eukaryota; Oomycota; Peronosporomycetes; Peronosporales; Peronosporaceae.
AAACUAACAAGGAUUCCCCUAGUAACGGCGAGUGAAGCGGGAUGAGCUCAAGCUUGAAAUCUCCGUGCAAUUUUUGCACGGCGAAUUGUAGUCUAUAGAGGCGUGGUCAGUAUAAGCACUUGGGGUAAGUUCCUUGGAAAAGGACAGCAUGGAGGGUGAUACUCCCGUUCAUCUCUAAGUUGCUUGUGCGUACGACCCGUUUUCUUUGAGUCGCGUUGUUUGAGAAUGCAGCGCAAAGUAGGUGGUAAAUUCCAUCUAAAGCUAAAUAUUGGUGCGAGACCGAUAGCAAACAAGUACCGUGAGGGAAAGAUGAAAAGAACUUUGAAAAUAGAGUUAAAGAGUACCUGAAACUGCUGAAAGGGAACCAAAUCGUUUCCAGUGUCUAUAAUCCGUGGUAUAUUUCAUUGGCGAGUGUGUGCGUGCGUGUGCUGUUGCAGUGGCUUUUUGGCUGCGCUCGGUGUGUGUGCUGUGUGUACUUGCUGGUGCCCUGUGCUGCGGUGGGACGUCAAGGUCAGUUCGUAUGCUGCGGGAAAUGGCUACUGAGGAGGUAGGGCUUACGCUUGCGUUUGUCUGUUAUAUCUUGGUGGACGAGUCGUCGCGGUUGGGACUGAGGUGCCUACAACGUGCUUUCGAGUGGGCUUGGGUCUCCGUGUGCGCCGUGUGCGGAUAGCUUGCUAUGCGUGUGUGGUUGUAUGUGGAUUGAUGCGAGCCGUAACUUGUAGUCGUUCGGGACGUUGACGAAAUGGAGCGAUUUGAC